CUUGUUGUCAUCAUUUUAUCAAAUAUAAUUCAAGAGGUCUCAGUUUGAGCUAAGAUCUCUCUGGAGGUUUGUGCAAUAAAGGGUUGCAUCCAUUUGACCUUUCGUAAAAAUAUUGAAGAAAAGUGACAUUAUUUCAAGUAAUUACAUCCUUUAUUAGUAGUACAUCCAAAGAUUCUCAAAUUUUCAUGUUCGAGGAAUCUGAGUACUGUCGAGGGUCUCCAAUUUGUACACCCC
RNAcentral lists this long non-coding RNA (234 nucleotides) under Elaeis guineensis (African oil palm). RNAcentral describes it as "long non-coding RNA (EGUI_LNC058380)". Lineage: Eukaryota; Viridiplantae; Streptophyta; Magnoliopsida; Arecales; Arecaceae. The record is from RNAcentral.